RNAcentral lists this ribosomal RNA (429 nucleotides) under uncultured bacterium. Its description in RNAcentral is "bacterial SSU rRNA". It matches the Rfam family "Bacterial small subunit ribosomal RNA", at positions 355 to 801 of the family's 1533-position model. The record is from RNAcentral.
UGGGGAAUCUUGGACAAUGGGCGCAAGCCUGAUCCAGCCAUGCCGCGUGAGUGAAGAAGGCCUUCGGGUUGUAAAGCUCUUUUACCAGGGACGAUAAUGACGGUACCUGGAGAAUAAGCCCCGGCAAACUUCGUGCCAGCAGCCGCGGUAAUACGAAGGGGGCUAGCGUUGUUCGGAAUUACUGGGCGUAAAGCGCACGUAGGCGGAUUGUUAAGUCAGAGGUGAAAUCCCGGAGCUCAACUUCGGAACUGCCUUUGAUACUGGCAAUCUAGAGUCCGGAAGAGGUUAGUGGAAUUCCCAGUGUAGAGGUGAAAUUCGUAGAUAUUGGGAAGAACACCAGUGGCGAAGGCGGCUAACUGGUCCGGUACUGACGCUGAGGUGCAAAAGCGUGGGGAGCAAACAGGAUUAGAUACCCUUGUAGUCCCUGAG